RNAcentral lists this long non-coding RNA (21570 nucleotides) under Gallus gallus (chicken). RNAcentral's name for it is "lncRNA (ENSGALG00010005754.1)". Lineage: Eukaryota; Metazoa; Chordata; Aves; Galliformes; Phasianidae. The record is from RNAcentral.
AUUUGACCAUGUCUUUAUUUGGUUAGAAACCAAAGUAUUAGAAGAAUAUUUAAUUUGCAUUUUAUUUAUCAGUCUUACAGACAAAAAUAUAUAGACUGUAUUAUCAUCAUAUACAACAUAAAAUAUAAUAAUAAAAAUACAGAAAUAAUGCUUUGCCUGGCAACACUUGAACAAUAUUUUUUACUAGUGAAGGUACAGAUUUAGUCUUACAGGAAGAACUUUUUUUGUCCUGGCUUAUCCUCUUAAUCAAAACUGGCAGAACUUAAGGCAGCAUAAGGCAGUCUAGCUGAAGCUAUCAUAGAAUCAUCAAGGUUGAAAAGACCACUACGAUCAUCUAGUCCAACCAUCAAGCCACGGCCACGACUGCUCUAGAUUAUGUCCCUCAGUGUCACACCCACCCUUUUCUUGAACACCUCCAGGGACAGUGACUCUACCGCCUCCCUGAGCAGCCUGUGCCAGUGCAUCACCACUCCUGAGAAGAAAUUUUCCCUAAUAUCCAACUUGAACCUCCCCUGGUGCAAUUUAAGGUCAUCAUCUCUCAUCCUAUCACUGAAACCUGGGAGAAGAGCCCUCAUCUCACCACAACCUCCUUUUAGGCAGCUGUAGAGUGUGAUAAGGUCUUCCCCGAACCUCACCUUCUCCAGAAUGACCAAUCUCAUUUCCCUCAGUUGCUCUCCAUAAGACUUGUGAUCCAGAAACUUCACUGGUUUCGUUGCCAUUCUUUGGAUAUUCUCCAGGACAGCUAUGCCAGAGGGUUUGCUAUUCCAGUUCUAAUGAACGUGGAGCAGAGACAUUUUAAAUGCAGAUUGGUCCUUAUGGUCCAAAGGCUCUCACUGAUAAAACCAGUCUAUGAUGACUAGCAGUCCUGGAGAAAGACCGAGGUUGAAUUUUGACCAGUAAUAAUAUUCUCCAGAAAAGCUCUGUUUUUGUCAAAAGUCCUAAGGUCAAAUCCUAAAUUUAUGAGAUCUCAAACCAUAACUCUACUGAAAGGCAGCAGUUGUGAGAGACCCACUGCCAGGGAGAUCAGGGCUAAAAGUGUCAACAAGAGAGUAAGUAAGCUGGGCGGCUUAACUUUUGCAUUCAUUUUUUGAUUUGGUGAAGCUGCCAUUUAAAUCACAUUAUUUUAUGAGCCUUCAGUAGGUCAUCUAGAUAUUUAGAUCAAUUUCAAAAAGUGAAUAGCUGCAUGGUAUUUCAAUGCUAAAGUCUCAGCAUGUCUAUAAUGUUUUCCUUCGUGCCAUUAUUUCUCACUGACAGGUACGGGGAGGUUUUGACACUGUUAAUAUAACAUAGGGUGUUAAUCUUAUAAUCGCCCUGUCAGCACUUUGUGUCAGAGUGUUAAUGACCGCCUUUCAGCCACUCAGAGCUGCCUGCCAAUAAAAAUAGUCCCGGCACCUAUCCAACCAGCAACUAUGCAGCUACUUUGCUUUUUCCCCAAAGAAUAAAUAGAAAUUUUCACUAGCCAUGUGGCCAUAAAGACGCUCCUCUCUACUUACUCAUUUCCUUUUCCUUCUCCACACCCACUGGCAAAAAAAAAAAAAACAACUUUGUCACUGGGCCCUUUUAAUGUAUUUUGCAUGCUUUAUUUUAGAAUGUACAAAUUAUUUCUCAACAACUUUUAAAUAAACACAACACCUUGGGCAGGAUAAAAGCCAAUUUUUUUUAACAGCAAGAAGCACACGUAUUUGCCACAGUUCUUUCCUAUGUAAAUAUAACUCAAAGGCAAAUGGUGAAUAUUUCUGUAAUUUCUCAGUGUUUGAGAUGAGCCCAUACUUUUGUCUCUGCACGAGAGGCUUUUCCAGCUUCCUGGCAGAGGGAACUGCACAAUUCCAGAUGACUUACUUACUUUGUAUGCCUAGAGGAAUUUUAUUACACAAAUAACAAAGAGAGACAAAGAAAGGAAGAGGGAGAGUACACACUCAAAAUAAUAAACAAAGAAUAAUAAACAUUCCUUCAAUUGCCCACAGGGAUUCCAGAUGUGGCUCCAUCCCUCUGCAAGUCCUGUCUGUGACUUCUUCACAGGCUGCCUUAGACAGUCUCACCCACAAAUCUGCUGCAUCUCGCGGGAUACUCAGGAGUUUUUCCGCAGAGUGACCUUGUAAUUGCAUUGAUGCACUUACUUGCUUUCUGACAGUCACAGACAAAAUCCAUACAAAAAGUACUGGUCUGCACUAGUGUGGCACGUGCCAGGGUAGGUGAUUCCUCAUGGCAAAACUCUCAGCUGAGUUCUUCAAGUGCACCACUGCCCUAAGAGCAAUAGGUUCUUGUGGCCUUCUGUAGUCUGGUGAUGGAUUUCCCCCCUCAUCCUGCUUAUCAUGUAUCUUCCAUCACUGACAUUUUGGGGCUUUAAUCACAAGUUCCAUGCACGCUUAAUGCAAAUAGGUUAAUUUACAAUAAGAUAUGAAAGGACCAACCAGCAAAAGUAAAGCAAUAUUGGAACUGUGAUGAAAUCGCAUGCUGCAGCCAGUUUGUUGCUCUGUUACUUUGUUAGGGUACUAUUUUUACUUAAAUUAUUAUAGGUUUCUUUUAAUCAAGUGACGUGGCUGAUUGGCCAAGGCUGCUUCCAGCCUCAUGUGUUAUCCAUCUGGAUUUUAUAUGCAUUGCAAUUUCCCAGCUGAAAAGAAGCAGACGUACUACCCAGCUUAUUAGAACUCAGUCCCAAAAAAGUAACAUUUUGUUCCUAGAGAAAAAUUUGUUUCUCAUGUGGGAUUUUAAUGCAGACCAAAAAAAGUAGGAAAGCAUAAACAAUCACCAGUUUCCAUGUCAUACAAAGCCAAAGAUGCAGCCAAAAUUAUUUCCAUAUUAAACAGAAUUUAUCUAGCUUUUGCUUGCUGUAUUUUACAGUAAGCACGAAUGUGGGAAUUCCUAUUACCUUGGACACACAAAGACUUUCAGUAUACCAAUAGAGAAGAAAUUGUGGCCUUUUUUAUACAUUCCAUAGUAUUUAAUAUGCUUUGCAAGAGUAAAAUGAAUGUGUAAGGAUAGAAACUCAAACCAGAUUAAGAUCUGCUUUGCCUUGCUUGCUAGGCAGUCAUUAAUAUUGAAAAUGCUUAUUAUUUAUUCAGACAUAGUUAUUAUAUAAUUAUUUUUAUAAUUAUUAUAUGAUUGUUAUAUAAUUAACAGUAGUAAUGAAAUAAUAGAUUUGGAUUCUAAAUGCAAGGGAAUAUAAGAUUCACCAUUAAUUUCCAGAAGCACCCUCUCCUGCAAUUACGACUUGAUGGAAGUCACUGUGGCCACUGGAAGGUGGGCUGCCCAUCCCCUUAAAUAGCUAUCACGCAGCCUAUCAUUUUAAACUUCUGCAAAAUUACUUAUUAGUAUAAAUCUAAAUAUUUAUGUAAUUGCAGUUAUGCCAAAAGGAAGGCAUUUUUAUAUAUAUUACUUUAAAGUGCAUGCAUCAGCAUGAAAAUAGAGUUGUGAUUUAGUUUUUUGUAGCUUUCCUAGCUGAUGCAGAAGUAUUUAUGACUCCCACUGACUUACCGAAGAAAGGAGUAUUUCAUUCUGCUUCAAUCUUGAUUUUUUUGCCUCGAUAGUCUUUACGCAUCUGAGCUCACAAUGCCAAUCACAUCAUCUGUGGAGUAACACAUGAUUUCCUUUUGCAUCACAGUGAGUUCCCAUAUAUCUCCUCUUGCAGUGUGAUCCCCAAAAAUGUUUACUCCACCCCUUCACAAGUAUUUUCGCAUGACAAUCCACAGUAGGAAAAGGCCACGCUUGUUUGUCCUGGUUGUAGUCCCCAGUUAAAAUAUAGCACAGCCGAGUGAAGACAAAGUAUUUAAGUGUUAGGGCGCUAGAGGUCUAUCCCUAUUUAAAUAGAUUAACUAGUUUAUCCCACACCCUGUUUCUCUUACUUUACCUCUUACUGGGGACUCAUAAAAAUAACUGUACUUGGCAGAAGGGAGGAACUUCACCAUCUUCAAUAGGAACAUCAAUUCAGCUGUUUGGGUGGUGAAUGUGGAAUCAAAUCUGCAUAUAUAUAUAUAUAUAUAUAUAAAAGAAUGAUAUGUACAGAAAUGGAAGGGAAGAGGGUAGCAGAGGAGAGUGAGAGAGCAGUCCUUCCACCUGCAAAUCCCAGAGCACUGUAAACCAAUCACUUUACCCAGGUCUGCUUGGCAGGCAAUUUUCACAUCCCAGUCAUCAUCUGUGCAGGGAUUUCUGAGUUUCACAUGAUGGCAAGGCUGAGCAGGUCACUAUAGUUCAAAAGGAUGAGGUCCAGGACUUCCAUCCAAACAGCUGUGGUUCAUAUUUGAAUUUUAGCCUUGUGGACUAUAAAAACCUCAGACCCUGUGAUCCCCAAGGAAGUCUUGCAUAAGCCUUGGUCUCAAUUAGUGGAGCACAGAGAAAGUAAUAGGUCCAGACUUCAGCUAACCUUGGAACACUGACAGUAAAUGGUCAAACCUCUCUUAGAUAUGUGUGUAUAUAUUUAACUUAACAGUAACGAGACUAACAUGCAUAUUGAAGGCCAGCUAUUACCCCAAAGUAAGCAAAUUAGGAGAAGCCAAGAACAAUCAAACUUUGUUACAUUUUAGAAUUUUGCCAAAACAAUAGCUAUCUCAGAAUUAUUUUAUAGGUUAAGCAAAUCCAUCUAUCUGCAGUGCGAUUUCAUCUUUCCAACAGAACUUGGUUAUUUACCAGCUUUUCAGUGGUAUAGUUCUGAUAAGUGAAGCAUAUCUCCAAGAACUCUUGUGCAAAAGGGAAACAGCUGUUUGCAGAGAUGAGACAUUAUGGUUAAGGAAACCUCCUGGGAGCACUGUGACAGGCACAGUGCUUGCAGAUUACAAAGAUGUGAGAAGAAGGGAAUGCUGUUUAAUUUUGUGAUCCCUUCUUCCCUGUGGGAAAGUGGUUUUGGAAGAGUGGGAAAUUCAUAUGAAUUUGAUUUGAUAGUUCUGAGGGCAGGAGUUCUUUAUUGACAGCCUGGGUGGUGCUGACACAAAUGUGCCUUUUUUUCACUUCAUUGCUGGCUUACAGACAAUACUUCUAGAGAAGACACAAGUUCACCCUCCUUGUCUUUAAACCUGUGGUUGCCCCUGAGCCUCGAGUUAGCAUUUAUUUUGGAGGAAUUUGCUUGGAGAUAGUGAGAUUCUGUCAGUAAAAUUUGGUCUGAGUCCACUAAGGAGAUUUCCACAAGCUAUCAUUCAACAUAGCCAUCAGCUGGUCACAGCUUUCAGUUACCACCAGCCUAAUUUGACCAAAUGGGCUAAAUGGAGGGCUGAGUCCAUGAAGCUGUUAGAUUCAGCCACAAGUUGAGGUAGCACUGCAUGGUCAGUUCCUUUAUAAUCUAUAAAAAUAACCACCAAAACAACAGCCAGACCUUCAGCAUCCCAUCAAUUACACCUCAAGCUAUCCAGUCUCCUUGCUGCUGUUCAUCAAAGAGAUCGUGCACAUUAGCAUAAGCAUAGGGGCAAGAGUGGAACUUGUGGUCUUGACUGAAAUAUUUCUAUGAUGCCUGUAGGCUGCAGUAGUCUAUUUCACGCAGGACUUUGUAGGAUGACUCGAGAAUAUGAAAGCUGUCUUCUGUCUCUUUGGUAGAAGAGUGCUGUAAAGAGGAAGAUAUUUAGGCCAGUAAAUAUCUACAGAAAUAUAAGCCAAAAAAAGAAAGAAAACUGGUUGUUUCACCGAGACUGCAUGGCUGGUCACAUGCUUCCAGAACCAUACAAAAGGUGCCCUAUUCACACUGGAACUAAACACAUACCAAACAAAAGAGCCACUACAGAAUAGGAAACAGAGUGAUUUCAGGAAUCAAAUCUAGGAAAGUGGCUGCUUUAUCCCCAACAGUGUCUAGAGUGGGGUGAAGGAGAAGAUACAAGCAGGUUCAACAGAUAUGUAUGAUAUCUCUGAGAAAAUGGAAAGCCUAACUUACAGUUAGCACUGGAGAAAACAUUACAGAUGAUUGUUGGUAGCUUCAUUUUACCUGGAUUUAUCUGUUUUUGUUCUUAGGUGGAAAAUAAUUAUAGCCAAGGCAAUUUUUGUAGCUAAUAAGCUACGGGAACCAAAUCAGAGAGCAAGUGCCAAUAAAAACUGUGACCUGCACAUUUUUUGGCAGAAGCUGGCUAGCUUUGCUUGUGGCAUGGCCUCUAUUUAAUGGAGAACAUGCAAUGCCCUUAAAAAAAUAAAUAAAUGUCUCUAUUUGAAUGAAAAGACCCAGAAGGAGAUGACUGAAAUCAAAACAGUACCUAGCAUGAAGGAAGCUGAAACAUCCAAAUAAACAGUAGUUUAGCUGGCAUAUGUAGACACAUAUACAAACAAACACAUAUAUCUCUAGGUUUUCAAUUCCCCUCUCAGCCCUUUCCAGGAUCCCACAUUCCACUCCUUCCAUCUGCACGAGCUUUAGACACCACUGCUUGUGUCACACAUUCUGUAAAGAACACCAUUUUCUCUGUAAGCCUUUAUUAUUGUUGGUACUGAAAUAAUACUUAGCUUUUCCAAAUAAAACACAGGCUCUGGAGAGCUAAAAAACAGCUAAUACAAGCAGCUAGUAAGGUAAAGGUCUUGUCUCAAAUAUGGCUGAGAUUAUCGUUUAUGAUUUUUGUUCGGAAGAUUUCAGAGCGUGUGGUGGCUGAGAUUGAAACAGUAAUGAGGAAUGUAAGCUCAUUCAUUUAAAAUUUCUUAUGAUUAUAAUAAUGUAUACCUUUGAUUUCAACUCUAUGCGCUACCCACAUAUAAUGUAGACUAUAAGCAUUUUCCACAUUCAGAACUCUCAUCAUAUUUGUCCAACGAGUUGACUUGUCCUUGGGAAACCAGCACCCUUUUGAGAGCAGUGAAAAAGUUACCCCUUGCUUAAAUAUCACGCAAUAAGGUUAUCAUUCUUACAAUCCUGGAUCAAGGCCAUUGAUCCCAGAAGUAAUUUCUUAAAUGAAUCAAUGUGUGUAACAUUUUUCUUCGAAGUAAUAGCCUAGAAAAUAGUGUGAAAGCCUCUUUACAUUCAGUAGACUUUCAGUUUGUACUAUUGUAGUUAUUCAUAACAAAUACUACUGGACACAUGGGCAAUGCUGUUCUUAAAUGCUUUUUUCAAUGAAUUUGUUUCUUUAAAGAAAGAAUAGAGCCUUCUGAGACAAUGACUUGUAGGAGGAGCUACUAUUUCCAGCUUUGUUAAGCACUGUGAUCAUGAGAAGCUCAGUUAUUCACUUUUCUUUCCACCUACCUUUAGCUGUUCUUCUGUACCACCGGUUUCAUCAUUCUUAUGAUACACUUACAAAAAAGGAAGUACUUCUAAUAAACUUUUCAGCAAGUUGGAAGAAGUUUUGUUCUGUUUGCCCCCAUUGUCACUUUCUUAUAUGUAACUGAUUGUUCAAAUGAUGUUAUAAUUUUUGACUCAUUGAGAUGCUAUUGAUUUUGGCAUUAAUAAAUGGUUUUCCAAACAGAGAUAAUAGGGAAACAGUUAUUUCUUCUGUGUCAACAAGAAUAGAGUGCAGCUUAACCAAAUGUUUAUGAAUUCUCACAUUUAGUUCAUUCAACUUAGUUGCAUUAGUAAGCAUUUUCAGUAAGCAUUUAUUCUCAUUUGGCAGUGGAUCUCUUCAUCUCUUACACCUCUAAAACUGGAUUUUUUUUGGUUUUUUUCCAAUGCUUUAUUUUACUUACACACUAUUUCAUGAAAAUCAUUAAAGACAAAACUUCCAGUUAGUUACCAGAAUGCCACCAUUUGUUAUAAUUAAAUAUUUAUUUGAUAUAUACCAACAGCUUUUUUUCAGUUCAAGAUUAUUCAUCACCAUCACCUUGGAACAGUAGCUUUCAAGAUAGUUAAAGCAUAGACUAAGCUUCAUUUUGGGAGAACAUGAAGAAUCAUACCUUUAAGUAAUUUCAAGUGUUGGCUCUUCAAAGCAAUCAGCUGUUCUGUUUUGAGCUUGCUCAGUAUCUCAGUGACGUACUCGAAUUUGACCAAAACAUCUACAUGUUUUAAACAGUAGAAUACACACAAAAAACAAACAAACAACAACAACAAACAUUAUCACAAUAGUUACUAAAAUCUAUUUUCAAAGACAUUGAUGCAUGCUUUAAUUUUCAAGCUUUUGAGUUGUACCAAGGAUAUACAAACUUCACCCAGAGCAGAGAAGCUGCUCAGUGCGGACAAAAGAGGGACCCUGGAAAAACUUAAUUCUUCUACAGAAAAAAUUUGGCAAAUAGGUCCUUGCCUUGUUUCCUUUCAUCAUUUAUUAACAAGAUUAGUUUCCUAAUACAGCUAAACAGAUUGUUGCUUUAGUUACUGCAGAGAGGAAAUUAUAUCUUACCACAAGUUGAAAAGCAUUGGAAAAAUAAUGAUGGCCCUAUAUCCGAGUAUAAAAACUGGCCUGAGAAGAGUAGUAAUUUAAGACUGACCACUAGCAUUCAUACUGAUAUUUUUCUCUUCUGUUUACCCUGUUUAUAUAAACAUUCCCUAAGUGUUUAUUUGUAAGACUUACUUCAGUUGGCACCUUAAACCUUUGACUUCAGUAGGUAUGUAGAAGGAUGCCAGCUCAAGCAUAAGAUAUCGAAAUAUGCCUUGCAUAUUUCCUCCUAUCUGAAUGAAAAACUAUUAGUAUACUUCCCAACAUAAGUGUAAGGCCACUGGUCAAUAAUAUUGAAAAUCAAAAUCCACAAUCAAAGCAGAAUUUCUGAAAAAGACUACUCUGGAAAUUCUGGUCUUAGUUACAUAAUGAUUCAUCAAUUCUCUGUAGCUUUGAAGCUCACAUAGCAAACCUGAGGUCUAAAUUGAAGCAAGUAGCCUGAAGUUAACAGUGAUGUUUUCCUUCCCAUAAUCUUUGCCAAUCUCACUAAGGCAAGUUUAUUACAAACUUUUACAAAUUAUAUGCUAACAUAAACCCAAGCUAAGUCCUUGUCUGGAAAAAGUUCUUGUGCUACUAGUAGAACUCUCCUAAAAAUAUAAAAAUAUUACUCAGGCAAAUGUGUGACUUGAAAUAGAAAUUUCAAGGGUAAUUUGUGUUGCUAUGUCUUCAACACAGCUGAGAAAUCUGUGAUGGCUGAGCAGAUGAGGUUUCUGGCUACUCUUUAAAGUGUUUAUAUUUUUUGAAACAGACUUUGGAAAUACUGUUAAAGCUGAGUCAAAGUUUAAGUUUAUUAGCUUUUCUUAUUUCUGCCAGUCUUCAUCAUUGGAGAAGGACACUCAAGAACAACUUUGCCUUGAAUCUGAUUUCACUCAUCACAAUGAGCUUCAUUUGCUAUUCAUUAUCUAGCUGUACAGAUCUUUCAUGCUUGUGCAAAAUGGCGUAUUAUUUUCUAAGUUUCUUUCAAAAUCUGUAGAUUAAGUGAAUAUUUAGGGCAUGGCUCAUCCUUCUGGGUUUAUACUCUGAAAUAAAGAUUUUUCCAAAGCCAAAUUUCCCUCUAGAGGUUCUGCAUUAACAACAGUGUAAACAGGUACAGAAAUCAAACAUCUUAAUUUGUUAUUUUUUCUGCUAGUUCUGUAUCAAAUACUGUGAGUCAGGGCGUGAAUGCAGAGCAUGCCUGGUCUUUCUGUGACUUGUUCACAAAUUCAUUCAGUUUCAGCUGCAGGAAAGAUUUAGGAGUCUUUCCUGGCUGAUAGGCCAUUAUGAUUCAAUUUUUUAAUAACAUUUAUGAAUCGUGUGGUUUACAAAAGUGUUCCACAUAAACACAAGAAUAUCUCCAGUAUCCUCCAGUACAGAGGAACACUGAAAGCCAUGACCAUGGGUAGAAGAAUCGCUGCAGCUGAUAUGAAUAAACCACAAAAAUCUUGCUUUAGCAUGUUAUUCUACCUUUGAAGAGACAUUUGAGUGGCAAGCUCAUCAAAGGCUUGGUGCCUUGUGUCAGAGACUACUAUAUCACAAAAACCCUUCACAAGCUAAUCAAGUUUCAAAAUAAAAGCACUGAAAUUUCUCACCUGGCUGCAGCAGUUCUUGUUGGUGGACAUAUCUUUGAAAGCUGUAAUCAUCUUUUACAUUAGAUAAGUUUAUUACAUUUUUAAAGUCUAUGUUGUCAUCAAAUCCCACCACUUCUCCAUUGGUGGUUUUUGGAGAAAGUACCAUUGAAAAUAAAAUAUUUCUUGUGGAAAUAUUACUCUUAUUCCCCUACUAGAGUUGAUCAUAGCAAGGCCUUUUGGUUAAAACUUCUAAGACAUUUCAAAACAUUGAGUUGGAAAGAACUUCAAUAUUUAUUGAUGCUUGGAAGUCUUCCCGCAGCAUCUUUUCUGGCCUUUCAGUCACCCUAACAAAAAACAUGAGCAUGUGAAUGCAAAACGUGAUAUAUCCUUGACAAUUUUCAUGCUCUGUCUCUCUUCACAGCUAGGACAUUCAAGAAAUUAAAAAAAAUAAAACAAAGUAGUUGACAUUUAUUGAAGGGAAGAGGUUAUGGAAUCAUGUCAAACAGAACACUAGCAGAAUAAAGCCUGCCAGUAAAUUUAACUCCUUCUAGAGUUUUAUUGCUCAUCAUAAUUAUUAACAUCUUUAGUUAGAACACCAUUUGGAUAUCAUUAAAAUAAAUGCAAACAAUUUUGGACUGUCCUUAAGAUUUUUUUUUUUAGACAUGCUUUUUUUAUCACUCAGCUCACUAAUAGAUUGUUUUUAUCAUAGAAUACUAAGUUACAUACAUUAAACAGAUUAGCAAUGUCCAAUGUCCUGUUGAGCAAGAAAUAAAAUCACAGAGAUUUAUUACUGUAUUACAAAUUACUUGAAAUAAAUGCUUGUGGAAAAAAACCUGCAUGUUCAUUUAACUAUAACUUCACAGUGUAUCCUCUAUACACUAAAUUCAUGUUAUGAACCUGAACCUUCUGGAAUGGAAUUCAUUCUCAUUUGGAGCUUUACCUUCAGAUGGUUUGCAAUAUCCUCUCCACAACAUUCUCUUGUCCAUGUAGCAACAAGAAGGAGACAGGGAAUCAAAAACUGACAUGAAAUCUCACAUCAUUUGAAAGUGAUUUGUUCUCUGCUCCUAAAUCAUCCAAGACAGUGAUUUAAACUAAUCUGGCUAUUUUGUCACUGACAUGGGCUAGAAGUACUUGCUAGAGUACAGACCACAUCUCAACUGUAGAUGUGGUAUGAAAGUAGAAUUGAGAGUUAGAAGCUAGAAAGUAGGAAUUGAGAGUUGCAGACAGUCAUUUCUUAAAUUGCUCCUCUGCAUCCACUAAAGGACAUCUGAAUGUGUACUCACCAAGGCUCUUGUAGUACUGGCUAAUUACUUCUUUCAAAGCCAAGAGUUUAGGUUGUUUUUUUUCGUAUCACUUUUCUAGAAGUAUUAAUUCAUCUUAAAUUGAUUUCAUCUUUAAUGCAGCCAGAUAACUAAAUGACUUCCUUGCACAGUUUGCCAAACGGUCUUCCAAAGCACACAAAGAUUUUCUGAAUUAUAGAUAAGGCCACUUAGCUAACAGUACAUUUCAGCAUAUAUAACAAAUAUGGUCCCAAGGGAUCAUUUUUGUUAUAGAACACAACACAGUCAUGAUUAAUAAAUGGCAUUUUUAUAUAGCAUGUUUUGCAGUUUACAGCAAAUAAGCAAAAUAAAAAAUUAACAAAAGAUAAUAUUCUUCCCACUGUUUACAUGGGAAAAGGAAUUUGAGGAAAGAACUUUUGCCUCUUCCUCUACAGAAUAACACCAGGAAAUCUAUGUGGCAGGAUCUUUGUGAUCUUUUCCAGUUUGCUUCCUCCAAAAGUAUUUCCUCCCUUAAAGGGUAUGUGAGAGAAAGAUCAAGUUGGAACAACUCCCUUGAACAUCCUCUGAGCAGGAGUGCUACUUGCUUUUGGGGGCUGGGUUUCUUUCUUUGCCUUGCUUUGCAUUUUUUAAGUUAAAUGCAGAAUGAGAUGAUUGAGCAGAUUCAAUGAGCAGUCUGUGUGCUCUCAGGGAUACGUAGAUCUACAUAACUUCUCAGUAGCUUCCAGUCUUUGUUAAAAGGGCUGAGAAGUCAUUGUUUUGUGAUUUUUGUCUUAAAAAUCUUAAAGUGGAUAAAGUGAAGAUUUUCUGCCAAUCUGAGUCAAAAGGUUUAGUCUGGAAGAAAACACAUCUGCUUAGCAUUUGUGUUUCCUGCUGGAAAUCUCAUUGUGAAUUCCUCCAGAGCAACGUUCCACAGACAUCCGUAGCUGGUCGUAAACAGGGAGCCUCUCCAGCCCCACGUUCACACAAACAUUCAACUAUUUGCUCUCAUGAAAUAGCAGCAGAAUGGUACCUCUCUAUGUGAUAUGCGUCUGCUUUAGCAGUGAUUCCUCACUCUGCCAGGCCAUUACAGCUCAACUCACUGCAGAAAUAGUCAAAACAAUCUGACCUCUCUGCCAGUUUGCACAUCUGUGCUCCCCUAAGAAAGCAUAUGAAGUAAAGGAUUUUGCUGUUGUUCUUUUUCCUUUUAUCAUCUUCCUUAAUGUUUUUGUCAUCAGACAAUGGUAUCUUCCACGUUUUUUUCUGAACUUAGCAGAAAAUUUCAGAAGAGACAGAAGUACUUACUAUCAUUUUGUCCUACAUACUGAGACAGUAUUCUUUGUGGAUUUAAUCCAUUGACACACAUUGGAAGAAAAAGAAAUUUCCGCAUCAACUCGGUUGGUGUUUUGAAAAUCUGAAUGCCAAUAAAUAGAAAAUUAAAUCACUAAGAAUUUUUAUGUAGGCAAUGUAUAAAGACAAUCUAGCUGGACAUUUACAUAAAAUAAAUAUCAAACCUUUUCCAUUUUAUUUAGCAUUUGACAAUCACUUCAAAAAUUUCAGCUGGCAGUGUUCCUGUAAUUACUAAGUAUUCUGCAAUAAAAGUUGUAAUUCUGGGAAGAAUAGGUGAUGAUAAUAUUUAAUAAUGCAAUUUUAUCCUUAAAUGCAAACACACUUUUGUUUUAAACAUGGACCACUUGACAAAUUUUCAUAAUACAUGCAUCAGAUAUAUUACAAUGCAUUUUGGAAAACGGCCAAGCAGUGAUACAUUUAGGACUUAAAAAUUAAAAAGUCAAUUAGUUCUGAAAAUGUGACUGCAAAGCAAAUCUUCCACAUGUGGGGAGACAAGGGCCUCUCUAACAAAAACAGGUCUUGGAAUUAGCAAAUUGCUUACAUUUUAGAGUCCAUGCACCUCUUUUUGAGGUUGCACUUUUUAAUCCUUUCAAUUUCUUAACACAUGUAGCUAUAGAAAUCAGUCAAAACAUGGAAAGAGGUUUUGUUUGCUUUUUUUCAAUGAUUAACUAGAUAAAAGGAAGGUGUUAAUACUUAGUAGUGAUUUAAUUUCAAUGGCUUCACAAGAAAUUAUAUCUCAUUUGGAAACCUGUAAUUGUUAUCACGUCAAGUAAAUUUAAAAGGUACAGAAAUUGGCUUCAUUUAUCUUAAAGGCAAAAGAUGGAAUGUUAUUAUUUUCAGCUACGAGAGUGAUCUUCAUUUGUGCAAAUUACUCUUUUGAAGUCAAUGUUCUUUAGUUAGUUUAGCAGUUAGUGCUGGAAGAUGGCUACAUUUCAGCAUGAGCAUUACAAAGCUUUGAAUUUUUUUUAAUAGAAAAAGUACACAAAUAAUUCUCAAACAACUUACGCUGAAUAAUACUGAACUGGUAAUAGGAUAUGGAUUGUUUACUAUUAAAAACAGUUCUUGAAUCCAAUACUGUGUAAUGUGCUAAGCACUGUAAUUGUGCUGGGGAGAACAGACAGGUUAGAAAAUCAAGUGUAAACAGAUUUUUGACACAGUAUUACUGAAUCUGAGAUGUAAUGGAAAAAUGGAAAGAGAGAAAGGGUGAAAGCGAAAAAAGGAAGAGAAAGUGAACGAUCAUGCUACAGUAGAACCAACACGAAAAAAGAGGAAAAUACAUUGGGAAAUUAUCAUCUACAGAAAAGUAAUGUGUCUUUACGGGACUUGUACACAAGCAUAUUAGUUACUGUAUUCUUAGAUAUGACAAAUUAGUUGGUAGGAGACACAGGCGGGAAAAGGAUUCUAAUACUCAUGGCGGAGAUAAGGAGUACAGCAUAGAGCUCAAGAAGAGAAAAUAAGACAUCUGAAAAACAAAUGAGCUGCCACAGAAAGAAAUAUUCAUAAUAAUGUGAAUUGCAAAAUCAUGUUUGGACCAAAAAAAGAUAGGAAAGAAGGUCUUUAUUACUCACAAGCUCACAAGCUCUUAUUUAUAUAUUAAGUCCAGAGCAAAUUCCCAGACAUCUGGAGUCUGGAGAAUACUUCUGCACAGCUGAGCAAAGCCCAAGGCCAUCUCCUGGCAGGACAGAGACAAUGGAUGCCAAGUCUAUCUGAGAAUGGUGUACAUGAGAAGUCUGCUGAUGAAGACUGCCUCACAUUACAAAUAGCUUGAGGAAAAAUGGGGGGGGGGGGGGGAGGGGGUUGGAAGGAACAGAUAAGGAAUGUGGUUGGGAAGAGGACUGUGCUUUUUAUGCUGUUCUUGGCUUGAGUGUUGCAGAGGUCUAUGGCUGCCUUGAGAAGAGAUCUGAGAACCUGACACAUCACUUAAGAUGGGGUAAGUGGCUAAAUGCAGUUUUAGACUGUAACUAAGAAAUACUAAGAUGGUGAAACUGGUACUGGCAAAGUCUCUGACAAAUCUUCUUCUUCUCCAAGACAAUGCUGUUUCCUUGAACAUCUCACAACAGUCUCCUUACAAACGGGCAAUCCUUGUAGCUUCAAGUCACCAGUGCCUCUGAACAAGGGAGCCUGUGUAUGCAGAUGUGACUAUUCUCAUGUACACAUAACCAGCUACUAUUUAAAAAAGUGGCUUUUUGCUCAGACACAUAACAGAUCUGCACGUAUUUUUUAGAUGUGUACAAUAUGCAAGCAUAACUUUGACUAUCUAGCCCUUUCACACUAAAUGGUUCUGCACGUCUCUUUAACCCCCCACCCCUCUGCCUUACCCCUGAAUGAAAGCAAAGACACCACUCAAUACUCAAAUCACUAAAAGUAAGUUCAUUGCUGCACCUCAAACACAUGUUAAAAUACCAUGCUGUUGUCUUGUGACAGCAAUAUAGUAUGUCGUUAACAUCAGUUUUAUUUUAUUUACUCUUUUGGAGCAUCACAGCUUUUCAUGAAUGGGCAAUGUACGAUGCAGUUCUGGUCUUAUCCCAACAUGUGUAACAUCUGGAAGAACUGCCACUUGUCAAGUCAACCAAGGCCCUGCUGACAGACAAAGUGAGCAUUAUACUGAAAUGCCAUUCCUCAGCUGUUUGCAGAAUUGAUUUCCCUGUAGAAUUUUCUAAUUAGUUGGCUCUUUCUAGCCCGUUCCCCACAGAGGAAGCAGAAAGGAAGCAAAAUGCUAGCACCUGCUCCUAGAGCUCUGGCUGGGAAAAAAAAAAAAAAAAAUUAAAUUUAAGGAUGACAUAUACAGUAAGUAUUUAGGCACUAGAAAGUCUUCUAUCCAUGCAGCUGUGGGGAUGAAGUAAGUCUGCUUGAAAGCUUAAUGGGGAUUCUUCUGUGGGGAAGAAUUUCCAGUGGCUCACAUUCCAGACAGUUAACCACAUUAUCGAGGGGAAGAAAAAGGGAUUUGUUCAAGCGUUAAGAACAGUUGUUUUUUUUAUUUUUGUGUGUGUUUUUUUUUUUAAAGGAAGAAAAAAAAAAUCCACCCUGAUCUGUAGAAAAGAGAGACAGAUUAAUUUAGACCUGCUGACGAUUUUAUAUGUAGUUCAUUCCAUCGCCUAUGGGUUAUUUUUGAUCAGCUCAUUUUUCCAUAAUUUCAAAUUAAAAUCCAUUAUUAUGAAGGAAUGUAGUGUGUGAUAUUAUCUCAGGGGUAACGACUACAUCCACAUAGAUGUUCCUAAGUAAAGUGAAUCACUGGAACAAAAGAGAUAGACAGCACAGUUAUUGAUAUUACUUUGAAUUCAUGUGCAAUGCAUUAUUGUGCUGGAAGAACAUACGAAUUCAUGGAAAACAGAAGUAAUAACAAAACAAUCCAAGAAAAGCAGUUAGCAUUUUUGACUACACAGGUUUGUUCACAAAAUAAAAAAUAAAAAUAAAAAAAUAAAAAAUAAUACUUUUUAAAAAAUCAAUAUUGAAUAUAAAGGGAGUCUGCUAAGGAUAGAAUAUGUGAUAAAAAAGCUCCCUUACUAUAUCCAUUAGAAUAAGGCAAAACUACGUCAAUAAAAUAUAUCACUGGUAGACCUUACAAAAUAUAUAUGGGCAAGAAUGAAAGAUGUAGAAUAGUAUUAUGGACACCAACUAACCAAACGGAUUUGCUGGGUGUUGAUCAGCACAAUGUGUGAAUUUGACCUUGAGAUGAGCAUGAGUUUUCCAUUAAUAAGGUAGAGGGUUUUUAAUUCUACAGUACAAAGUAAUUUUUGUAUAAUUGCAAAACUUUGAAAGUCGUGUUUCACAGAAUCAAUGCAUGUUUAUCAAUGCAUGCAUAUCCUUGGAGGAAGGGAUGCAGGGGACUAAAAGACAUUUUAGUUAAUAAUGUAAUGAUUUCAUGCAUUGACAGAGUUACUUUUUUAUAAAUUUACUAUUCUCCAGUACAUCUUUAGAUAAAUACUCCCCACAGGGAGUGUAGGUAGGAGUAUGGGUUCUCUUAAACAAACAAAGGGAAAAAAAAGAUCCUGUUGCUUGUGUGGGACAAAUGCUCAGACCUUAUUCUCCAUUCAAAGACGUUUUUGAAAUAAAAAUAAUGAAAUAAAAAGCAGAGGCGUAAGGCUACACUAUUCUUGUUCUCACUGACAAUGCUUGGUAAUAUUUUCCAGUGUAUUGUUUUUACAGUGGAAAAUUAGUGUAUGCUGGCAUUUAUUCUUGUUAUAUUCUAUGGCGUUUUUUUUCUUUUUUCUCCAAAAAAUCUACAAUUAUUUCAAGUGGACUUCCCCCUGAAACUCAUAUUCAAGGAAAAUUGCAAACUUAGAAAACUGAAGUAAACAAUACUUAGAAAUGGUACAGCUAAAUUCAUCUGUGGAUUUGAAAAUCUCCCAUGAUACUUUAGUCUGGCCCAUUAACUGCACCUGUUCCUUUUUCCUUUUCUUUCUUUUUCUUUUUCUUGGCCAUAAUUUCCCUUUCAAUAGCAGGUGUUUGGCUUUCCAAGAAUGCAUAGAAUAUUUUCUUUCAUUACUGUCUCGGCAUUUCAACUGAAAAAAAAGUCUUCAUCCCAUCACUCUCCCCUUUGAAAUUCAAAGAGUGGAAAGAGAGAGAAAGGUUGUUUAUGUUUGGAAAGAAAAAGGAGCGAUAACUCACAGAGAAACACAAAGUGAAACAGUAAUCUGUUCUCCACAAAUAACAAUCUAAAUUAACCGAUUUUAUAUGUUUCUCCUUUUUUUUUUUUUUUUUCCUUUGACCAUAUAAUUUCUUAAAAGAGCAAAGUUUCACUACAGUCAUUUUGAAUUGCUUCUAGUUUGGCUGUAGACUUUUCAUGAAUAUAAACACACAUACACUGCUAAAGGCAGCUGUUCCACAGAAGGCCUUUCCUGUCAAUUGUAGAAUCAUUUAAAUUUAAGUUACCGGUGGCUCAUUCAAAUACAUGUGGUAUUUUUUUCUUAGGUAGAGUGAUGAUGAAUAACAAUUUGAGUGUGAAGAAGGCAUUUUUCCCAAGUGAUUUCAGUUUACAGUAUUUUUAUCUAAGUGUGAAGUCAAGAAAACAAGCUAAGAAUACCUUGGUCAAUUUCAGGAAAUAACCUCUGCUUCUAUAUUACAAAAUAAAAUUAAAAAUACAUUAAAACUAAAUAUAGUUGUCUUCUCCUUUGCUUCUAAUUAGUUUACAUUAGUUUAAAUCUAAAACACAUGAAGAAAAAAGUCUAGAGAAAGGAAAACAAAUCAGAUUUUCUGUGGGCAGCCUCUAACCUAAAGAAUAAUUCUACAUUAUAGUGCAGAUGACUCAAUCCUUCUUUCUCUCAGUUACCAAGAAAAGCACAAAGGUCAUCUUCUGUGCCUUCCCAAAAAUUUAGAAAAAUACCAUGUAGAUCUCUGAAAACAAAUGUUUGACUCAAACACCACAGUAUUGUUUCAGGAACCUUUUCUUACUGCAAGUGGUAUUUUAACACCGCUGGUAGGUGUUACCUAUGUUUUGGGACAGCAAAAUGUCACCCAUACUAAAAAGAAAGGGCAGGAAAAUACUGUCUUGGCAAAAACUUUAAUAUGUAUCUACAAGUGGUGAGGAUAAUAAGAAACAAAAUAUAAUUUGUAUAGUUUGAUGUCAAUUAGGUGACACCUUUCAAAGUCCAGGGUUAUGGUUUGCUUUCCUUCCUUCCACUUUCAGCUGACAAAUUUUCUUUUCCUACUCCAGAGGAAGCUAGUACAAACAUAGUAUUUCUCCUUGUUCCUGCUCUGUCUUGCUUGUUCCUUUUUUUUUUUUUUUUUUUUUUAAUAAUCUAUUUCUCCACUGAGAUGACUUAUACUGUUUUCCCUGAAGGUGUGCAUGUGGGCUAAUGCUGCUGAAUGACAUGCGGUGAGAUCCUAUGUACCUGAGCCGACUCAGUGACCACCUCUAUUUACAACACAGAAUCACAAAAUCACAGAAUCACAGAAUGGCCUGGGUUGGAAGGGACCUCAAGGAUCAUGAAUCUCCAACCCCCCUGCCGGGCAGGGCCACCAACCUCCCCAUUUACUAGACCAGGUUGCACAAACAACACAAGGCAUAGCUGCCAGAGAGAGAGGCUAGCAGGUUGCAACAUGAUUAUUAAUAUCACUUUACAUUUCAUAUUCUUAUCUCUAACAGCUAAUCUAUGUAGCUCAGGAUAUGAAGUGCAAUUGAGAGAUGAGGGACAUUUUAGUACUUAUCAGGAGCGAUGAUAUUUGAGAUUUGGAGACGAAGGUUUUGUUUUGUUUUGUUUUGGCUUUUUUCUCUUUCAGAGGAAGGUAGGAUUUGGUGGUGGUGGAUUUUUUUAAUGAGAGGACUGACUGAUGUGUAUCACUUGACCCCUGUUUCAGGUGAUGGAGUAGCUGGCAGGGAGCUAUUCAUACCGAUGAGAUUAAGUGAGCUGGUAUUCAGAUUAACUUCUGAUUUCCCCAGUAUUAUUUGUACAAGUUCUUUAUUGCUCUGGAUAAUUCUCCAGUUCUUGGUUUAGGAAGUGGAACUGACAUCCUCCUCAACCAUUGCUACCAGAUCACAGUCUUUUAUUAUGUCAGAUGACAUGAUAGUCAUAGAUCCACCCAGCCUACUAUUUUUUCAGUAGUAAAAUUAGACUUCUGUGAAAUUUGCUUUGUUCUAAACAAAGAGCAGUAAUGCACAACUUGAUCAUCUAAAAAAGAUUUAUAGUUCUGAGAGUAAUCAGGAUAUUACUUUGAAUUAACAUUUCUGUGGCUAAGGCAACUGCUGUCUUCUCUCAGGAACAGAAUGUUUGUUUAACCAGGGCAGCCUUCAACUCUUACAUGUGCUCAGAGUCCCACAAACUCCUCUGCUCUGGCUGGACGGAACUGUGAUAUUCCUUCCUUCUUUAGCUAUUGCUAAGCUCAUGGCCCGCAGUACCUCCAAGUCUCUUUCUGUUUUUACAAUUAACCUGUUAUUUGUCACUGUUUUGUCUCAAUUGACUUCCACAAAAGAUCUUGAAGUGAUUUACAAGAAGGGUAGAUUCACAACAAGCUUUCCAAAUGCUCCCUCAUUGUAUUUGCAAUUCUAGGCCCAACAGACCCUGCAACUACAGAUGAGAUUCGCCAUAGAACAGGCAGUGAGUUAUCACUUGUGUAUAUUAGGAUUUCUACUAUGCCAGUGAACACAUUUUCACUGACAUUUCCUUUUCCACCCUGCGUAUUAAACCUCAUAUUUCACAUAUCUGCACAGAAGACCAGGUUUGGUUUCCAUGAAUGGGCCACAUUAUGUUUUUAUAUGUUAUUCAAUCUCCUACAGGCUUUUAUCCAAACCAAGCAACUAAAAUAAAACAUGGCUUCCUUCCCCGAGAUGGUUUCAUAGCUCAGCUCUCCAACUUUCUCCCCUACCACAAACACGCAACACAAUUGUGCAACAGCCUAGGAAGGAAUGGUGAGAUCAGAGCCGUGACUGCAGACAUCCUGACAUGGGGAUCUGGCAGCUAUUCAACACAAACACAAUUAGAGGACUUACCCUUGCGUGAAGUAUUUGCUUUCUUGAUAGUCACCAGCCUUAACCUCUAGGAAUGCUUACGAAUCAGAUAGCAUUCCUUGAGGAGGGUGAGCCUUUUCAAGCUCCUCUGUCUUGUUUUAGCCAACACAGAUAUAAGGAAGAAAGAAAUUCCACCACAUCAUACAACUUCUCCAAGUGAAAGCAUUUCAGAGGACAGAAGAGCUGUGAUCUCAAAAUUUCUGCCAAGGAUUCAAGAACCAAAUUUGUGAACAUGAUACUUGUUCCUUUCCCCCUUCAUUAUGACCAGCAGGAAUAAAUAACAGCACAACAGGCAAGCUUUGGAAUUCACACCAAAUGUGAAAGUAGGGGCUCCCUGAGGCCUGCAUAUUGGCUCCUCAUCACCGUAGGCUUCUCUUGCACUGCUGAUCCCACAGAAUGAUGGCAGGGUUUUGCAUAUCUUAGAAAACUUGGAGGAUCUGUGCGUCUGCAUAUCUCUUUGUGACCUUGUUCAUGCUUUCAGAAAAUGUAGCCUAAUAUACAUGUGUGUUACCCAACCUACCACGAAACCUAAAGCAUAACAACACAAGUAUUUUGGUAGUUUUAUUUCUACUCGUGGUAAAUCCAGGGCUUUUCACGGAGGCAACAAAAUCUUAGCAAAGGCAACAGCAGUUGACCUUAUAUAAAAUAACUGCUAGCAAAUAAGUCAAAUGCUGGUCUGGGAGAGCAGUUACAAAGGGACAUUCAUGUUUUAUAAUGCCCAAGGAUUUAUAUUAUUCUCAACUUAAGCUGUGCUAGUGACUCAAAAUUACUGGACAGAAGAAGUACACAACCUCAGGGGUGUAACGUAGCAGUUCUGAGAGCAAGGCUACAUAGAGGGAUUUCCAGAUGACGCCAUGUAAAGUGCCACAACUACUGCAGGCACUACAAUUUACAGAGACACUUAAUAGAGCAAAUUAGCCAAGCUAAGCUAAGCAGAGUGCAACACAAAGGAUGUGCUACUGCUACAACUCCAUGUAACUUAUUCAGUUUGCGCCAGGUGUCUCUAUAUAGCACUUAUCCCACAAGGAAAAAAAAAAUCACAGAAAAAUUUGCAGUCUAUCAUAAUGGUAUAAUAUAAAGGAAAAUAAUAAUUAUAGAAAAUGGUAAGGAUGCCUCCAGUGCAGAAAUUCUGGACUGAACUUAGAGUUGCUGAACUGUAUGACCUGCGUGAGCUAACCCUCCACCUCAGAGCAUGAGCACUUAUUCAAGAAAUGACAUUCAAAUGUUUUAUGACCUUGAGCAGCAGCUUAACAUCUGUAGGAGGAACAGUUGUGCAUUGUAGCUGCCUUCCCAAGCGAUCAGAUGCACUCUUCCAUUGUUAGUAACUUUCAAAUAACAGCAAUUUGAAAAGCAGAAGAGAAUGCCAAAAUAACAGAGAUCUGAAUCCAGUCGGAACAAGAUGCUCCCAGUAAUAUUUCUAACACUAUGAAAUUUCCUCCCCUUGUCAGAAUCCAGGGAAAUAUUUUGCACGGUAUGAAGAGAAUAACAAUAAUGCCUCAGCCUGAAAUUAAUGGUCACCGGGUUCCAACUAAAAGAGCUGAUUUAUGUUUUUUGGGUGCACUUGGAUAGAACAGGUUAUGUUCGAGAAAUGGACUGCCGAGCUAUCAUAGCAUUGAUCUUAAAGCAGGGGCAUUAAGCAAGCAAAUACAGCAGAAGAAAUUAUUUCUGGGGUAGCUUUGUUGACAUCUGCAGCCCUACCCAAGCCAAGCAGUCAUCCCACC